RNAcentral lists this ribosomal RNA (393 nucleotides) under uncultured soil bacterium. Its description in RNAcentral is "bacterial SSU rRNA". It matches the Rfam family "Bacterial small subunit ribosomal RNA", at positions 26 to 402 of the family's 1533-position model. The record is from RNAcentral.
AGAGUGAACGCUGGCGGUAGGCCUAACACAUGCAAGUCGAACGGCAGCACAGUGGUAGCAAUACCAUGGGUGGCGAGUGGCGGACGGGUGAGGAAUACAUCGGAAUCUACCUUUUCGUGGGGGAUAACGUAGGGAAACUUACGCUAAUACCGCAUACGCCCUUUGGGGGAAAGCCGGGGAUCGCAAGACCUGGCGCGGAUAGAUGAGCCGAUGUCGGAUUAGCUAGUUGGUGAGGUAAUGGCUCACCGAAGGCGACGAUCCGUAGCUGGUCUGAGAGGAUGAUCAGCCACACUGGAACUGAGACACGGUCCAGACUCCGUACGGGAGCAGCGAGGUAGGGAAUUAGUUGGAACAAGUGGGGCCACAAGCCUAGGACUCCAGCCAUACCGGCGU